Molecule: long non-coding RNA, 436 nt
Filed under: Callithrix jacchus (white-tufted-ear marmoset)
Lineage: Eukaryota; Metazoa; Chordata; Mammalia; Primates; Cebidae
Description: lncRNA (ENSCJAG00000074979.1)
Source: RNAcentral
UCAUAGCUCACUGUAGCCUCAAACUCCUGGACUGAAGUGAUCCUUUUGCCUCAGCUUCCGAAAGUGCUGGGAUUUCAGUGACUCCACACCCACGGAAGGAGAGGGGGAUGAAGAAACCUGCCAGGAAGGUGCCUCCCGCCAGUAUCUGAUGAAGGUAAGAGGAGGAAAUGGAUCCAGCCAGAAGGAUCAGAGAGUGUCAGAAGAUCCGGAAACUUCCUCUGUGUGGCCAAAGUCUCAAAAUAUGCCAUUCUAUUCUGGGGAAUGCCGUGUCUAUUCAGGGCUCCAUCCAUCAAAUAGAAAUGGGACUCUAGGCUACUUUCCCACCUCCCAGGAAUGUGGAUGCCUAGAACACAAUAAUUCUUUUAAUCUUCUAAGAUAUAUAUAUAUAUAUAUAUAUACCAGAUUCCAGGACAGGUACAGUGGUCUACAUCUGUAA